Molecule: ribosomal RNA, 362 nt
Filed under: Hymenelia epulotica
Lineage: Eukaryota; Fungi; Ascomycota; Lecanoromycetes; Hymeneliales; Hymeneliaceae
Description: SSU rRNA
Rfam family: Bacterial small subunit ribosomal RNA
Source: RNAcentral
AAUAGCCUAACGGCUGAACCAGCAACUUGGAGGAAUAUAUAGCGCAAGCUGGUUGUAUUAACUGUAAGUUAAUGCAGCAUCGACUAUGUCGAAUAAAGUUCUAGGUAGAGCUAUGAUAAUGACAUUAUCUACCUAUGUGUCUUGACCAACUCCCGUGCCAGCAGUCGCGGCAAUACGUGGAAGACUAGCGUUAUUCAUCUUUAAUAGGUUUAAAGGGUACCUAGACGGUAAAUUAAGCCCCUAAAGGGUACUAAUUCACUAGAGUUUUAUGGGAGGGGGGGUGUACUAAAUAGUGUAGAGAUGAAAUUCUAUUAUACCUUUAUUGGAACAGGCAACGGCGAAAGCAACCCUUUAUGUAAUAA